CUUCGGUGGUGGAUUAGUGGCGAACGGGUGAGUAACACGUGGGCAAUCUGCCCUUCACUCUGGGACAAGCCCUGGAAACGGGGUCUAAUACCGGAUAAUACUCCGGCCCGCAUGGGUGGGGGUUGAAAGCUCCGGCGGUGAAGGAUGAGCCCGCGGCCUAUCAGCUUGUUGGUGGGGUAAUGGCCUACCAAGGCGACGACGGGUAGCCGGCCUGAGAGGGCGACCGGCCACACUGGGACUGAGACACGGCCCAGACUCCUACGGGAGGCAGCAGUGGGGAAUAUUGCACAAUGGGCGAAAGCCUGAUGCAGCGACGCCGCGUGAGGGAUGACGGCCUUCGGGUUGUAAACCUCUUUCAGCAGGGAAGAAGCGCAAGUGACGGUACCUGCAGAAGAAGCGCCGGCUAACUACGUGCCAGCAGCCGCGGUAAUACGUAGGGCGCAAGCGUUGUCCGGAAUUAUUGGGCGUAAAGAGCUCGUAGGCGGCUUGUCACGUCGGAUGUGAAAGCCCGGGGCUUAACCCCGGGUCUGCAUUCGAUACGGGCUAGCUAGAGUGUGGUAGGGGAGAUCGGAAUUCCUGGUGUAGCGGUGAAAUGCGCAGAUAUCAGGAGGAACACCGGUGGCGAAGGCGGAUCUCUGGGCCAUUACUGACGCUGAGGAGCGAAAGCGUGGGGAGCGAACAGGAUUAGA
Molecule: ribosomal RNA, 689 nt
Filed under: Streptomyces sp.
Lineage: Bacteria; Bacillati; Actinomycetota; Actinomycetes; Kitasatosporales; Streptomycetaceae
Description: bacterial SSU rRNA
Rfam family: Bacterial small subunit ribosomal RNA
Source: RNAcentral